CAGUAGUAGUGACCUCUUUUCUCGUCCCACAGUAGUAGUGACCUCUUUCUCUUCCCACAGUAGUAGUGACCUCUUUUCUCUUCCCACAGUAGUAGUGACCUCUUUUCUCUUCCCACAGUAGUAGUGACCUCUUUCUCUUCCCACUGUAGUAGUGACCUCGUUUCUCUUCCCACAGUAGUAGUGACCUCGUUUCUCUUCCCACAGUAGUAGUGACCUCUUUUCUCUUCCCACAGUAGUAGUGACCUCUUUCUCUUCCCACAGUAGUAGUGACCUCUUUCUCUUCCCACAGUAGUAGUGACCUCUUUUCUCGUCCCACAAUAUUAGUGACCUCUUUUCUCUAGGUUAGUAUACACUUUUGUAUGUAUUGCUUUUUGUUUUAUGUUUGUUAAAACUAAUUUGCUUGCUUCUUUAUAAAUACUUGCAUGUAUGUGUGAUUGAGUGUGUACUGUUAUUUCGUCACCAUUGGUUUUAGUAAUAAUAAAUAUUGAAUAUUGAAUAAAUAUUGAUAGUGAAUGACAGGAUAUCUAAACAGGAUAAUUUGCAGUUCAUCCUAGAUUAUUCCUCACAAUGUCCACACCAUAUAUAACAACAAGCUAAUAAUGGUUCUAGAUCCAAUCUAAGUACUGUUUUAGUUUUUUAUAUAUAUAUAAUUUACUGGUAGUUGCCAAAGAAAUAGAGCAUGCCAGGGUUGGGGUCAAUACCAUUUCAAAUCCAGUCAAUUCAGGAAGUACACUCAAAUUCCAAUUCUCUUCAAUGCUUUUCAAUGAGAAACAUUUUGAACUGAAAUUGGGUUAACUUUCUGAAUUGACUGACAUCGAAAUGGUAUUGACCCCAAUCCUGGAGAAUACCAUAUUGUAGUUCAUGACAGCAUACCAUACUGUAGUUCAUGACAGCAUACCCUACUGUAGUUCAUGACACCCUACCAUACUGUAGUUCAUGACAGCAUACCAUAUUGUAGUUCAUGACAGCAUACCAUACUGUAGUUCAUGACAGCAUACCAUAUUGUAGUUUAUGACAUGUUCAUUUGUUUUCAUGACAAUGUCCAUUUUGUCUGCUGGGAAUGGUAUUGACCCCAAUCCUGGAGAAUACCAUAUUGUAGUUCAUGACAGCAUACCAUAUUGUAGUUCAUGACAGCAUACCCUACUGUAGUUCAUGACAGCAUACCAUAUUGUAGUUCAUGACAGCAUACCUUACUGUAGUUCAUGACAGCAUACCAUAUUGUAGUUCAUAACAGCAUACCAUAUUGUAGUUCAUGACAGCGUACCAUAUUGUAGUUCAUGACAGCAUACCACAUUGUAGUUCAUGACAGCAUAUCAUAUUGUAGUUCAUGACAGCAUACCAUAUUGUAGUUCAUAACAGCAUACCAUAUUGUAGUUCAUGACAGCAUACCAUAUUGUAGUUCAUGACAGCAUACCACAUUGUAGUUCAUGACAGCAUACCAUAUUGUAGUUCAUGACAGCAUACCAUAUUGUAGUUCAUGACAGCAUACCAUAUUGUAGUUCAUGACAGCAUACCAUAUUGUAGUUCAUGACAGCAUACCAUAUUGUAGUUCAUGUCAUGAAAACAAAUGAAGAUGACAACGUCCAUUUUGUCUGCUGGGAAUGGUAUUGACCCAAUCCUGUAGAUUGACCCCAAUAUGUAGAUGCUUUGAAAUGGACAACUCUUUCCCAGUCAACAACACUGACUUGCUCUCUAUAUCUGUAUGUGAAAUAGCUCAACUCAGAGAUGUAAUGAGGUCCAUUGUGUUUUGUGGCGUAUAACAAAGUUAUUAUAAGGAAGGACUUCCUCAGACUGGCAGGUCCAAUAGACAAAUUUGACAAUCAAACACCAACCAGGGCUGUCAUCAAAGAACUUGAAUGAGCGAACAUUGAUUUCUUGGUGUAUUUUAGAAAUGUGAUUUUGCUGUAAUGUUUUGAUGAUAGCUUGAGGGUGGUCAGGAGACUACUUCAACCCACACCUUUCUCUGUCUGAUAGCUUGAGGGUGGUCAGGAGACUACUUCAACCCACACCUUUCUCUGUCUGAUAGCUUGAGGGUGGUCAGGAGACUACUUCAACCCACACCUUUCUCUGUCUGAUUUCAAGAUUUUUGAACAUGGUUUUUAGAAUUAUUUUGAUAUAAAGAGUUUCAAAUCAAAAGAUCUAACGCUCAUCUUGCAGAGAAUAGCAUGUUAUUGUAUUUGAGAAUGAUCAGUAAUUAACCAGGCUACGUAGGACCAGGCUACGUAGGACCAGGCUACACUGUGACAAUGCUGAUUUCAGAUCAAAAGCUAAUGUGUUUGAACUGAGAGCCAGUUAGAAGCUAUUACCACCGACUGACUAUUAAUUACGACUGUCACACAAAUACAACCCAGAGUUCAGUGUUUUACCAUGUCAGUUGUAUGUUCUUAAAAAAAUAAAAUAAUUGUAUUUGUGCUCAAUGUAAAAGAAAGAAACUGAUUAACCCCUAGAGGUUUUUGAAGGUAAUAAAAUGUAACUUGUAAACAGUGGUUCUUGGGAUAGAGUAACAUUUUGUGUGAGACUUUCUCCUUUUUGACCUUGUCGUCUUGCGAAGUCUCUAUAUGUGUGCUAGUAUUUCGUUAGGUGUGCCAGUGGGUUCUGGUUGGUCUGAAACUGCUGAUGAAGUGUAUUACUGCUGUAAAAUGCCGCUGUAUGGAAACACUGGAACACAUCCUGAUCAUGUAACACCAUUACUAUUGCUGAUCUCCUCCACAUCCUCCUCCUCCUCCACAUCCUAUUCCUCCUCCUCCUCCACAUCCUCCUCCUCCAAAUCCUCAUUCCCCUCCUCCUCUUCCUCCUCAUCUUCCCUCUCCUCUUCCUUCUCCUCCUCCUUCUUCUUCUUCUCCACAUCCUCCUCCUCCACUUCCUCCUCCUCCUAUUCCUUGUCCUCUUCCUCCACAUCCUCCUCCAAAUCAUCAUCCUCCUCGUUCACAUCCUCCAUAUCCUCCUCCUCCUCAUCAUCAUCCUCUUCUUCCUCCUCCACAUCCUCUUCCUCCUCCAUCAUCCUCCUCCACAUCCCCUUCCUCCUCUUCCUCAUCCUCCAUAUGCCUUCCUUCUAUUAUUAUUGUAUUAUUUGCAAUAUAAGCUACAAACUGCUGCAUUUGUGGACACUAAACAGUUAUGUUGUCUGCGGUAUUGGAGUAACAACAAUUGUCCAACAAUUGCUCUCUAACUUGUGUUAGCGAUAGAUUUUCACAAUAACCUUUACCAUGUUACAGAGUUUUAUAAAAUUAACUUUGUAGUGCCCAUAACUAAACAUUAUACUGUAUAUGCCUCUUAUUGCAUUGAAAUGUAGUUAUUUUGAAUGUUCUACUGAAGAUGACUGCAUCUACUUUCCGUCUCUCUCCUCUGGUUUCACAUAUGAAGUGUUUUCCGUGGAAAGGGGAUCUGGUCUGAUCUGGAUCAAUGUGGAAAUAUGAACUUGUAAUCAUUGUGAGUGUUGCCACUGCUAGGGAACUCUAAAAUACUGUUUGAGACACUUCAACUUAGAUUUUUUACAUGGGUUUAUGUUUGAUGUAAAUAUUAACAAUGUAUCUGAUGUGUCAAAAGAAACUGAGGCAGUUAAACAUUAAACUUCAUGUUAUGUUGUUUGUAA
This is a long non-coding RNA of Oncorhynchus tshawytscha (Chinook salmon), 3592 nucleotides long. NCBI's taxonomy places the organism in Eukaryota, Metazoa, Chordata, Actinopteri, Salmoniformes, Salmonidae. The record is from Ensembl.